Molecule: ribosomal RNA, 820 nt
Filed under: uncultured Actinobacillus sp.
Lineage: Bacteria; Pseudomonadati; Pseudomonadota; Gammaproteobacteria; Pasteurellales; Pasteurellaceae
Description: bacterial SSU rRNA
Rfam family: Bacterial small subunit ribosomal RNA
Source: RNAcentral
CGGACGGGUGAGUAAUGCUUGGGAAUCUGGCUUAUGGAGGGGGAUAACUACGGGAAACUGUAGCUAAUACCGCGUAAUAUCUUCGGAUUAAAGGGUGGGACUUUCGGGCCACCUGCCAUAAGAUGAGCCCAAGUGGGAUUAGGUAGUUGGUGGGGUAAAGGCCUACCAAGCCGACGAUCUCUAGCUGGUCUGAGAGGAUGACCAGCCACACUGGAACUGAGACACGGUCCAGACUCCUACGGGAGGCAGCAGUGGGGAAUAUUGCACAAUGGGGGGAACCCUGAUGCAGCCAUGCCGCGUGAAUGAAGAAGGCCUUCGGGUUGUAAAGUUCUUUCGGUGAUGAGGAAGGUGUUUGUUUUAAUAGAACAAGCAAUUGACGUUAGUCACAGAAGAAGCACCGGCUAACUCCGUGCCAGCAGCCGCGGUAAUCCGGAGGGUGCGAGCGUUAAUCGGAAUGACUGGGCGUAAAGGGCACGCAGGCGGUGACUUAAGUGAGAUGUGAAAGCCCCGGGCUUAACCUGGGAAUUGCAUUUCAUACUGGGUCGCUAGAGUAUUUUAGGGAGGGGUAGAAUUCCACGUGUAGCGGUGAAAUGCGUAGAGAUGUGGAGGAAUACCGAAGGCGAAGGCAGCCCCUUGGGAAUAUACUGACGCUCAUGUGCGAAAGCGUGGGGAGCAAACAGGAUUAGAUACCCUGGUAGUCCACGCUGUAAACGCUGUCGAUUUGGGGAUUGGGCUUUAAGCUUGGUGCCCGUAGCUAACGUGAUAAAUCGACCGCCUGGGGAGUACGGCCGCAAGGCUAAAACUCAAAUGAAUUGACGGG